Alligator mississippiensis (American alligator) is the source of this 267-nucleotide long non-coding RNA. RefSeq lists it as uncharacterized. NCBI's taxonomy places the organism in Eukaryota, Metazoa, Chordata, Crocodylia, Alligatoridae. The record is from RefSeq and is a predicted model, not a curated record. The transcript has 2 exons.
GAGAACACAUCCUUCUUGUCUAUUGCUUGGAAACUAGAACAAUAACACAAGGAGCAACCGAAGAGAAUCAUCACAAGUGGUAACAGCAAUGUAUUGUAUCCUGUGCGCAGCAAAGGAGGCCUCGUGAGGAUUCAGGCACUGCAGCAGUGCUGUUCCUUUGCAGCAUACUAGACAGAGGUAACUCUGUAAGCAUUCACAUCAAGGCAGGAAGAACUCAGCUUACCUGCCUCGCAUUUACAUUUCAAAGCCCUCACAAGAUCUUUUUUU